This 625-nucleotide ribosomal RNA is filed under the name uncultured bacterium. Its description in RNAcentral is "bacterial SSU rRNA". It matches the Rfam family "Bacterial small subunit ribosomal RNA", at positions 338 to 950 of the family's 1533-position model. The record is from RNAcentral.
CCUACGGGAGGCAGCAGUAGGGAAUCUUCCGCAAUGGACGAAAGUCUGACGGAGCAACGCCGCGUGAACGAUGAAGGCCUUCGGGUCGUAAAGUUCUGUUGUUAGGGAAGAACAAGUGCUAGUUGAAUAAGCUGGCACCUUGACGGUACCUAACCAGAAAGCCACGGCUAACUACGUGCCAGCAGCCGCGGUAAUACGUAGGUGGCAAGCGUUGUCCGGAAUUAUUGGGCGUAAAGCGCGCGCAGGCGGUUUCUUAAGUCUGAUGUGAAAGCCCCCGGCUCAACCGGGGAGGGUCAUUGGAAACUGGGAAACUUGAGUGCAGAAGAGGAAAGUGGAAUUCCAAGUGUAGCGGUGAAAUGCGUAGAGAUUUGGAGGAACACCAGUGGCGAAGGCGACUUUCUGGUCUGUAACUGACGCUGAGGCGCGAAAGCGUGGGGAGCAAACAGGAUUAGAUACCCUGGUAGUCCACGCUGUAAACGAUGAGUGCUAAGUGUUAGAGGGUUUCCGCCCUUUAGUGCUGAAGUUAACGCAUUAAGCACUCCGCCUGGGGAGUACGGUCGCAAGACUGAAACUUAUAAGUUAGUUAGUAGCGUUGNGAGNGCGACGACGACACACGGAGGUUAGG